GGUAUGACCAGUUCCAUUGGUGCCUUUUGGUACUGUGGAUAGGGGUACGGUUUUCCACCGUACCGAAACCUAGCAGAGGGCCAGUCUGGUGCCAGCAGCUGCGGUAAUUCCAGCUCUGCGAGUUUGCUCCCAUAUUGUUGCAGUUAAAACGCCCGUAGUCUGAAUUGGCCAGCAAUGGUCGUACGUAUUUUUACGUUCACUGUGAACAAAUCAGGACGCUUAGAGUAUGGCCACAUGAAUGACUCAGCGCAGUAUGAAGUCUUUGUUUUCUUCCGAAAACAAGCUCAAUGAGAGCCAUCGGGGGUAGAUCUAUCUCAUGACGAGUGGUGGAAUACUUUGACUCAUGAGAGAGAAGCUGAGGCGAAGGCGUCUACCUAGAGGGUUUCUGUCGAUCAAGGGCGAGAGUAGGAGUAUCCAACAGGAUUAGAGACCCUGGUAGUUCCUACCUUAAACGAUGCCGACAGGAGUUUGUCAUUUGUUAAUGGCAGAAUCUUUGGAGAAAUCAUAGUUCUUGGGCUCUGGGGGAACUACGACCGCAAGGCUGAAACUUGAAGGAAUUGACGGAAGGGCACACCAGGGGUGGAGCCUGUGGCUUAAUUUGAAUCAACACGGGGAAACUUACCAGGACCAGAUGUUUUUUAUGACUGACAGGCUUCGGGUCUUUCAGGAUAUUGUUUUUGGUGGUGCAUGGCCGUUGGUGGUGCGUGGGUUGACCUGUCUAGCGUUGAUUCAGCUAACGAGCGAGAUUAUCGCCAAUUAUUUACUUUGCCGAAGUCCUUCGGUUAAAGUUCUAAUUGGGACUCCCUGCGAUUUUAGCAGGUGGAAGAGGGUAGCAAU
This 837-nucleotide non-coding RNA is filed under the name Trichomonas vaginalis G3. RNAcentral describes it as "Eukaryotic small subunit ribosomal RNA". It matches the Rfam family "Eukaryotic small subunit ribosomal RNA", at positions 467 to 1454 of the family's 1831-position model. The record is from Rfam by way of RNAcentral. Lineage: Eukaryota; Parabasalia; Trichomonadida; Trichomonadidae.